CUUUGCACUUCCGGGUGCAAUUGCUAAUCUAUAGUGGGUAAAACUUGUAUGCCACUUACACAUAAAAGUAUUUUAUAUAACGAAACGCAAAUGGUUUCAUUUUUAACAAGAAUCAAUAAAAGACACUACUGUAUAGACUGAGUGAAUGACGUCAGUAUCCGAUAUAAGUUGUUGGAAUACAAAUGACAUGAUGUAGCUGCUGCAUAAUCGUUUUGGUAUGUGAUUUUAUGGUUGGAUCUUGAGUACUUGUCAUGCCUCUUUAAUUAUUUUGGAGUGUUCAUUACCAGAUAAGAAACCAGCUUGUUAUACCACCGGACACGGUUGAAAGGAAAUGUUCAUACUCAGCCAUGGAUAAGACAAUGGUAGAGACAUGGCAGUCCAUUACAAAUUUUUGCCUGAGUUAAAGCCUCUUAUAACUCUAUGACUUAGGUUAACAGUCUGACUGAAUUGUUGUAUUUUAAUAAAAGCUAAGAUUGAAGACAUUUCAAAGAUGUAUAUAAGUGUGAAAAUGUUAAACAAAAUAUUUACACUAUUAUUACAUAAUAUGCCAUUUUUUUACUUUGCAUAAAUUUAUAUUUGGCUAUCUUUUACACAGAUUAUUUAUUCUCUGCA
Ruditapes philippinarum (Manila clam) is the source of this 612-nucleotide long non-coding RNA. RefSeq lists it as uncharacterized. The record is from RefSeq and is a predicted model, not a curated record. NCBI's taxonomy places the organism in Eukaryota, Metazoa, Mollusca, Bivalvia, Venerida, Veneridae. The transcript has 3 exons.